Molecule: non-coding RNA, 21 nt
Filed under: Rattus norvegicus (Norway rat)
Lineage: Eukaryota; Metazoa; Chordata; Mammalia; Rodentia; Muridae
Source: RNAcentral
UGAAGUGGGAAAUGACCUGUG